GAUGAACGCUGGCGGCGUGCCUAACACAUGCAAGUCGAACGGAAAGGCCCUGAGUUUGUGGGUCUCUCGUUAGGCGAACGGGUGAGUAUAACGUGAGUAACAUGUACUUGUAUUUGGGAUAACUUUUGGAAAAUGCGGAUCAUACAGCAUAGGAGAUACUGCACCAUGGGGGGGGAUAGAAAGUUGCGGCGGUUGGGGCUGGACUAGCGGGUUAUCCGCUUGUUGGGGGGGUAGUGGAUGACCAAGUCUUAGACGGGUAGGCGGCCUGAGAGGGUGGCCGGCCACCUUGGGACUGCGAGACGGACCAGACUCCUACGGGAGGCAGCAGGGGGAAAUAUUGCACAAUGGGCGGAAGCCUGAUGCAGCAGCGCCGCGUGCGUGAUGACGGCCUUCGGGUUGUAAACCGCUUUCGCCUGUGACGAAGCGUGAGUGACGGUAAUGGAUAAAGAAGCACCGGCUAACUACGUG
RNAcentral lists this ribosomal RNA (468 nucleotides) under uncultured bacterium. RNAcentral's name for it is "partial 16S ribosomal RNA". It matches the Rfam family "Bacterial small subunit ribosomal RNA", at positions 28 to 507 of the family's 1533-position model. The record is from RNAcentral.